This 2053-nucleotide long non-coding RNA is filed under the name Lingula anatina. Its description in RNAcentral is "uncharacterized LOC112042544". The record is from RNAcentral. Lineage: Eukaryota; Metazoa; Brachiopoda; Lingulata; Lingulida; Lingulidae.
CACUGCGGGUUUUCUUUGACCUACUUAGUCGGGCUUAGGCGGAGCGGGAAAAUUUCACACGUUAUGAAAUAACGUUAUUCCAAGGGCAAGAUAUAUUUAUGAGUUACCAUAAAAGUUUGAUCUGAAACAUUAGGAGAUUCCACGAUUCCGGAAUCUAUUUAACUGCAUUCAAAGACAUUCUUGAUGACAAAAGGUUCACACACAGUUUGACAGCUCUUGUACAGUGUCAUGUUUCUCUGUAGUGGCCUGCUUGAUGUGGUCAGUUUGGGAUGAUAUGUAUUGGACCCAAGGUGGAGCAGUGGUCAUCACCCACUGUCACCCAUCACCAUCACCCAUCACCAUGUCAAAUAUUCUUCUUGCAGCUCCAGUCUCCAUACAACAUGGUGUCUUCUAGGUGAACUGACUUUACCUGGCUGAACAUGGGGGACAUGUAUUUUAUAAGAAGCAGACAUAAAAAGACGGCAACAGAAACAUCUUCAUCUCACCCAGUUGUGGAAGACACGGGACGUGGCACGUUUUAGGAUGAAUGAACAGCCAGAGACAGGACAGCCAUUGUAAGCAGCAAAUACACUUCUGGAAUUGUGUAAAGAGCUGCUGGCAGACCAAGAGGUCAGUUUUAUACUGAGUGAGAGAGAGUGCUGCCAGAACCACCCAGAACAAGACUUCCAAACACAGCAGAUCCUGUGGAGCCAGUUAUAUGGAACAGUACAAUUACACAACAAAUGUGGGUUCCAGGUAACACAAAGAAUCAAUUUCCCCCAUAUACAUGGAAACUAUAGAGGCAGGGUAUAUAAAGCAAGGAGAGAUUGUGUUAGACAAUACUCUAUCACUGAAGACAAAUAGACACAAUGGAAAUGUUUAAAAGUGAGUUGAUAUUUCAGCUCAGUUGUGAUGUGUUAUAAUAAUUUUCCUCAUAUGCAUGGAAACUGUUACAGUACUAGUAGAGGUAGUAUAUACAGUGAGAUUGUGGUAGACAAUAUGCCAUAGCUGAAGAGACCAAGAGGUCAUUGAAAAUGUUUAGAUGUGAAUUUAUAUUUCAGGUCAGAUAUGAUGUGUUAUAAAUGGUCUCUGUUAUUGCGAGUGCAUUAAGUUAUAAUUGCAAAUUUUAUCACAUAUUUAUUAUAUACAGACACUCAGUCUGUCUAUAUUCUGAUCACUGUGUCUGUCCAGUGUCAUUGCCAUAGUCAGCACUUUGUGACACAUCUGUUGUUUGCCCUAAAACUGAUAAACUGUAUUUUUGUUUUGAAUUCCUCUAGAAAAUCAGCAUGAUUGGAUUAUUUUAUGAUAUUGUUAGCAGUUUGAUAUGAUGCUACAGUAUUUCCUGAGUAUAUCAAAUUAAAGCAGCAAUGUAAAUGUGUUUGUGCAUCAGGAGUGGUUUUAGUGUAUCUGCCUGUUUCAAUGUGGAGUUUGUGUGAAAACAACUAAGGCUUUUUCUUUUUUCAUCAUCUUGAACAACGUCCAGAUAUUUUUUCUUUUUUAAAUGUAUUUUUGAAUUGGCAGUAGAUGCUGGAUUUAGAUUUGUCCACAAGUUAACUGUGCAAGUUUUGUACGAAGCCACUGAUGAUGUGGAAGGAAUUUUUUGUGAGGAUUCUGUUUUAACCAUACAUCUCCAAAUCCGUUUCGAAUAGAGAAGUUAUCAUCUUUCAGAUUUGACAAGCUUUUUGUUGAGAGUAAUUUGUAAUAUUGUAAUUCAUCUGUAGGUUUGCUUGUUUAAGUAGGUUGUUAUCAUCCAAGUGUUAUAUUUUAAGCCAAAAUUUUAUUAAUUGUAUUUUAUACUUUAUGUGAGCAAGAAUUCUUCCAGUCUCUCCUCUGCCUGCAUACUUUGAUGAUAAAAGUUGUUUACAAAACCUGAGGUUAAGUUUUUACAAUUUUUACUGUUAGAGUAGUAUAGCCUCAUAACUCUGAUCUGUAUGUUCAUGACUCCAUAAUGCCCCAGCUUUGGACAGAUGUUAUUAAGUCUGUAAUUUUCAUUGUUUCUUGAGCACAAACAUUUGGUUUUAUGGUCUCAUUGCCUGAGUAAAAUGGUCACGGGAUAUUUUAUUUGAUUUUGAAA